This 75-nucleotide transfer RNA is filed under the name Uroplatus phantasticus. Its description in RNAcentral is "tRNA-Trp". Lineage: Eukaryota; Metazoa; Chordata; Lepidosauria; Squamata; Gekkonidae. The record is from RNAcentral.
GACACUUAGGUUAAAUAAACCAGCGGCCUUCAAAGCCGCAAACAAGAUCGUACAACUCUUAGUAUCUGAAGGCAC